Molecule: ribosomal RNA, 136 nt
Filed under: uncultured eukaryote
Lineage: Eukaryota
Description: partial 18S ribosomal RNA
Rfam family: Eukaryotic small subunit ribosomal RNA
Source: RNAcentral
UGGUGGAGCGAUUUGUCUGGUUAAUUCCGAUAACGAACGAGACUCUGGCCUAUUAAAUAGACGAGGUAUUUCACACGUAUCUCGCGCUUCUUAGAGGGACAAGCGGCGUCUAGUCGCAUGAAAAAGAGCAAUAACA